UACGAAGGGUGCAAGCGUUGUUCGGAUUUAUUGGGCGUAAAGCGCGCGCAGGCGGGCGAUUAAGCCAGAUGUGAAAUCCCGGGGCUCAACCCCGGAACUGCGUCUGGAACUGGUUGUCUAGAAUCUCGGAGGGGGAAGGGGAAUUUCGCAUGUAGGGGUAAAAUCCGUAGAGAUGCGAAGGAACACCAGAGGCGAAGGCGCCUUCCUGGACGAGUAUUGACGCUGAGGCGCGAAAGCGUGGGGAG
Molecule: ribosomal RNA, 245 nt
Filed under: uncultured Halobacteriovorax sp.
Lineage: Bacteria; Pseudomonadati; Bdellovibrionota; Bacteriovoracia; Bacteriovoracales; Halobacteriovoraceae
Description: partial 16S ribosomal RNA
Rfam family: Bacterial small subunit ribosomal RNA
Source: RNAcentral